RNAcentral lists this ribosomal RNA (254 nucleotides) under uncultured bacterium. Its description in RNAcentral is "partial 16S ribosomal RNA". It matches the Rfam family "Bacterial small subunit ribosomal RNA", at positions 524 to 775 of the family's 1533-position model. The record is from RNAcentral.
UACGUAGGGGGCAAGCGUUGUCCGGAAUCAUUGGGCGUAAAGCGCGUGUAGGCGGUUCGGUAAGUCUGCUGUGAAAGUCCAGGGCUCAACCCUGGGAUGCCGGUGGAUACUGUCGGACUAGAGUACGGAAGAGGCGAGUGGAAUUCCCGGUGUAGAGGUGAAAUUCGUAGAUAUCGGGAGGAACACCGGUGGCGAAGGCGGCGAUCUGGGUCGAGUACGUGACGCUGAGGUGCGAAAGCGUGGGGAGCAACAGG